Molecule: small nuclear RNA, 104 nt
Organism: Colobus angolensis palliatus
Lineage: Eukaryota; Metazoa; Chordata; Mammalia; Primates; Cercopithecidae
Source: Ensembl
GUGCUUACUUCAGCAGCAUAUACACUAAAAUUGAAAUGAUACGGAGAUUAGCAUAGCCUCUGCACAAAAAUGGCACACAAAUUUGUGAAGCAUUGCAGAUUUUU